GGAGCACUACAUAUAUGUUGAAAUUAUUUCUAUAUAAUUUACCCGUAGACAUACCACAAGCACAACGUGCCAAGAGGCCCCACUUCUCUUCUUUUGAUCAAUUUUGCCUUUCAUCCUUCUGAUUUUGGCGACCUCGUGUAGUUUCACGGACGAAUAAUGAUUGGUUACAUUUCUUCCCUCCGAUAAGAACAUGGGACACUGACCUCUGAGGUGAUGACCUGGUGAUGAAUACGCACCGACCAUGUUCACUCCUCGGCUAAAAAUAUAUUCAUCAUGUCCACAUUACAGAUUCAUCAUGUCUUCCUGAUCGACGUCAUUUGCUUGAUUCAGUCUUCAAACCCCGCAACUCAAUAGUCAAUGCACUGCAAUGGAGACUAAUAACGUUUCAUCUGUAGCUCCAGACCGACUGAGGAUUCGUAAUUCCCCAAUUCAAGAAACCCAGAAAUGGGCAAAAUGAAAAAGUGAUUGAUCACUUAGAGACGGCUAUCGCUGCAUUCUUGGGCCGCAGCCCGUCACUAGAUCACAGAAUGAUGUUGAAAGAGAGAGGGAGAGGAAAUUGCAAAGCUUUUAUACGUAAAUAUGAAGCUAUACAAGAAUGUACAAAUGUGGUAGAUACAAUUUUAUAAACCCCAUCUCUAAUCUAGUAGACCUUAACUCCACCUACCAACUGACGAAAUAACUCAAGUUGGAUUCUUCUAACCAGAAGCGGGAAGAAGGCACUGAAAUUGCAAUUAGCAAAUCUUUUCAGUGACUUUUUAUGUGAUGGAAACAAAAGAGAUGAAAGAACUAAGCCAAAGCACUUCCUUUUUUCUUUUUAUGUUCUUUUGUGAUUAAUACUACUCAUCCAAACAGCAUGGGAGAUGGAGAUUCAGACUGUUGUUGCGCCUAUCUAAGGUGAGAAUCAUAAUUGUCAAAAAAGGAGUCUGGAACAAUCACUGGCAACUUAUCUAUGUACAUGAAAAGCCUUUUAAGAUUCUCCCUCGUCACUGUCGCCAUGUCCACUAUGUCCCGAUUAUCAGUAAAUACCCAGAGAUCUCCAGAAUUCACUCUCUUCAGACUAUCUCGACAGAAGGGGCAUGACUGCGACCUUGACCGCCAAUCGCGGUAACAUUUCAAGCACAUGGCAUGGUUGCAAUUGGGCAGUACAAUCUUAGUAUUCAUCUCCAUGCAUAUUCCACACUCCUGUUCCCUUUCAAUGUCAACAUCUGUCUGCUGCCUAUGUUCUUCAUCAUCUCUUCUUCGGAACCUUUCCAUACAUGCUGCCUUCUGUUUCUUAUCCUCUGUAUCAGUGACCCCACUUUGAAGCUGCAAUAAAGAGGGAUAAAUAACCGCAUAGAACUCCCUAAUACUCGCUUUUCUUUCAUGAGUAGACAUGGUGGUCGUGCCAUCUACAUAAACCUUAUAAAUUAGGAUUCUCAACAGUCCAAGCGCGCCUGCUAGGUGACAGUCUGACCACUGAACUAGAAAAAGAAACAGAUGAGCAGCUGGGCUAUAUGACAUUCUCAUCUGAAGACAGGCACCAUCAUAAUCCCUUGGAAAAUCUGACGCCCUGCACAUGACAUUGCAGGAUAAGAAUGUAAACAGAGGCAAAACAUAUUCAAGUUAACAACCAAGUGAAUGUAAAGAGGGGGAAAAAAAGCAAGGAAAGCUUUCAUGGCAUGAUUAAAUAUAAACACCAGUAAAGAAGCUGCAGAUGGUAUUGAAACUAAAAGAGCCAAAGUUUAGAUCCUGUCUUAUCCCCUUGUAGCCCCCGAGCUUGAGCUCGUCAUUUAUCAAUCAAUUUACAGGACAAACUUCUAAAGCCACAGAAAUGUUCUGAAAAAUAAUGUCAUACUGAACAUUUGGACGAUAGCCCUUUUUUCUCACACUUUCAUUAAGCAUUCCAUGUUUCCAGAAAGAAGCCUUAAUAUUAAUCAUAUAGCUUUAAAAAUUAUUAAAAAAAAAUGUUAUAAAAGCACAAACAAGUGGAACCCAUUGGCCACGUGAAGCGCAGUGAAAAACUUAUCAUGAUAUAGAUAAUGACAAUCACCCAUGCUCCAACCCCCUCUCCCCAACCACCACACAGAGAGAGUGCUGCCAAUUGCUAAAGCAAAUGCAUGCCACCAGAGGAAUUCCCAAUUUGAAUGCAAUUUCAAGUGAAGGCGUAACAUAAGAGGAAAAAUUAAACCUUAACAUAAGAAUCUAUGGAUUAACACAAGUAUAGUUUCAUCCAUCACGAUUCACAAUUUAUCAAUGUUUAACAUCAAACUCAAAUAUUGACCACAACACCACCCCUUUUAGAAGCCGCCCAAAAGAAUGUGUCUUGCAGGAACAAAAAUGACAAUAAUACACUUACUAUAGCUCUGUGUGUGCCACAGAGAGAGAGAGAGAGAGAG
This 2375-nucleotide unclassified non-coding RNA is filed under the name Hevea brasiliensis (rubber tree). Lineage: Eukaryota; Viridiplantae; Streptophyta; Magnoliopsida; Malpighiales; Euphorbiaceae. The record is from RNAcentral.